This 586-nucleotide long non-coding RNA is filed under the name Rattus norvegicus (Norway rat). Its description in RNAcentral is "long non-coding RNA NONRATT004172". Lineage: Eukaryota; Metazoa; Chordata; Mammalia; Rodentia; Muridae. The record is from RNAcentral.
AGAUCGCCGGCACUUGUCUCCUUUGUUCCAGCGUCAGCGUUCUUGGGAUGUCAACAACUCUAGGCUGCCGGUUUUUCCCACCAGGCUGAUGAAGGAACAUGGACUUUGGAGGAUAGAAAGAUGGUCCGCAUCGUCCUGACAAAAACCAAGAGAGAUGCUGCAAACUGUUGGACUUCCCUUCUAGAAUCUGAAUAUGCAGCCGACCCCUGGGUGCAAGACCAAAUGCAGAGGAAACUUACGUUAGAGCGAUUCCAGAAAGAGAAUCCUGGGUUUGACUUUAGUGGAGCAGAAAUCUCAGGGAACUACACAAAAGGUGGACCAGAUUUCUCAAACCUUGAGAAAUGACUGCUGUUGAGUAGUUUCUGUCUGUCUGUCUGUCCGUGGAUCCUGGCAGGUGCUGGCAACUUAAUGCAGCUGAUGAUGUGACGGACGAGACACCCAAUGUCUACAGUAAAAAGAUUGCAAAGUGUAUUUCAGUAUGCUUGUGAAAGAUUACAUUCAGAUACGAUUUGCGUAGGACAUAGAGCAGCUCUGCUGUGGAUAGAUGGUAACUUUUAUUGCUCUGCAUUAAGUUUUAUAUGCUACA